GAGAGAGAGAGAGAGAGAGAGAGAGAGAGAGAGAGAGAGAGAGAGAGAGAGAGAAGAGGAGAGAGAGAGAGAAUAUAAUAUGUGAAGAGAGAGAGAGAGAGAGAGAGAGAGAGAGAGAGAGAGAGAGAGAGAGAGAGAGAGAGAGAGAGAGAGAGAGAGAGAGAGAGAGAGAGAGAGAGAGAGAGAGAGAGAGAGAGAGAGAGAGAGAGAGAGAGAGAGAGAG
RNAcentral lists this long non-coding RNA (223 nucleotides) under Medicago truncatula (barrel medic). RNAcentral describes it as "long non-coding RNA (MTRU_LNC002765)". Lineage: Eukaryota; Viridiplantae; Streptophyta; Magnoliopsida; Fabales; Fabaceae. The record is from RNAcentral.